UACGGAGGGUGCAAGCGUUAUCCGGAUUUACUGGGUUUAAAGGGUGCGUAGGUGGGUAGGAAAGUCAGUGGUGAAAUCUUCGGGCUUAACCCGGAAACUGCCAUUGAUACUAUUUAUCUUGAAUACUUUGGAGGUAAGCGGAAUAUGUCAUGUAGCGGUGAAAUGCUUAGAUAUGACAUAGAACACCGAUUGCGAAGGCAGCUUACUACAGGGACAUUGACACUGAGGCACGAAAGCGUGGGGAUCAAACAGG
RNAcentral lists this ribosomal RNA (253 nucleotides) under uncultured bacterium. RNAcentral's name for it is "partial 16S ribosomal RNA". It matches the Rfam family "Bacterial small subunit ribosomal RNA", at positions 524 to 776 of the family's 1533-position model. The record is from RNAcentral.